AUUGAACGCUGGCGGCAUGCUUUACACAUGCAGGUCGAACGGCAGCGCGGGCUUCGGCCUGGCGGCGAGUGGCGAACGGGUGAGUAAUACAUCGGAACGUGCCCAGUAGUGGGGGAUAGCUCGGCGAAAGCCGGAUUAAUACCGCAUACGACCUGAGGGUGAAAGCGGGGGAUCUUCGGACCUCGCGCUAUUGGAGCGGCCGAUGGCAGAUUAGCUAGUUGGUGGGGUAAAGGCCUACCAAGGCGACGAUCUGUAGCUGGUCUGAGAGGACGACCAGCCACCGUGGGAGGAGGAAAGGCCCAAGCCCCCGCGGGGGGCAGCGAGGGGGGAUUUUGGGAGAAGGGGGAAAGGCUUAACCCAGCAUGCCGGGUUGUGGAAGAAGGCCUUUGGGUUUGAAAAGAAUUUUGGGGGGAAACAAAAAGGACUGGCCAAAUACCCCGGUCGGAUGAGGGUACCCGAAAAAUAAGCACCGGCAAACUCGGUG
RNAcentral lists this ribosomal RNA (484 nucleotides) under uncultured bacterium. RNAcentral's name for it is "partial 16S ribosomal RNA". It matches the Rfam family "Bacterial small subunit ribosomal RNA", at positions 29 to 507 of the family's 1533-position model. The record is from RNAcentral.